This 1515-nucleotide ribosomal RNA is filed under the name Bacteroides fragilis str. 3783N1-6. RNAcentral's name for it is "bacterial SSU rRNA". It matches the Rfam family "Bacterial small subunit ribosomal RNA". The record is from RNAcentral. Lineage: Bacteria; Pseudomonadati; Bacteroidota; Bacteroidia; Bacteroidales; Bacteroidaceae.
GAGUUUGAUCCUGGCUCAGGAUGAACGCUAGCUACAGGCUUAACACAUGCAAGUCGAGGGGCAUCAGGAAGAAAGCUUGCUUUCUUUGCUGGCGACCGGCGCACGGGUGAGUAACACGUAUCCAACCUGCCCUUUACUCGGGGAUAGCCUUUCGAAAGAAAGAUUAAUACCCGAUAGCAUAAUGAUUCCGCAUGGUUUCAUUAUUAAAGGAUUCCGGUAAAGGAUGGGGAUGCGUUCCAUUAGGUUGUUGGUGAGGUAACGGCCCACCAAGCCUUCGAUGGAUAGGGGUUCUGAGAGGAAGGUCCCCCACAUUGGAACUGAGACACGGUCCAAACUCCUACGGGAGGCAGCAGUGAGGAAUAUUGGUCAAUGGGCGCUAGCCUGAACCAGCCAAGUAGCGUGAAGGAUGAAGGCUCUAUGGGUCGUAAACUUCUUUUAUAUAAGAAUAAAGUGCAGUAUGUAUACUGUUUUGUAUGUAUUAUAUGAAUAAGGAUCGGCUAACUCCGUGCCAGCAGCCGCGGUAAUACGGAGGAUCCGAGCGUUAUCCGGAUUUAUUGGGUUUAAAGGGAGCGUAGGUGGACUGGUAAGUCAGUUGUGAAAGUUUGCGGCUCAACCGUAAAAUUGCAGUUGAUACUGUCAGUCUUGAGUACAGUAGAGGUGGGCGGAAUUCGUGGUGUAGCGGUGAAAUGCUUAGAUAUCACGAAGAACUCCGAUUGCGAAGGCAGCUCACUGGACUGCAACUGACACUGAUGCUCGAAAGUGUGGGUAUCAAACAGGAUUAGAUACCCUGGUAGUCCACACAGUAAACGAUGAAUACUCGCUGUUUGCGAUAUACAGUAAGCGGCCAAGCGAAAGCAUUAAGUAUUCCACCUGGGGAGUACGCCGGCAACGGUGAAACUCAAAGGAAUUGACGGGGGCCCGCACAAGCGGAGGAACAUGUGGUUUAAUUCGAUGAUACGCGAGGAACCUUACCCGGGCUUAAAUUGCAGUGGAAUGAUGUGGAAACAUGUCAGUGAGCAAUCACCGCUGUGAAGGUGCUGCAUGGUUGUCGUCAGCUCGUGCCGUGAGGUGUCGGCUUAAGUGCCAUAACGAGCGCAACCCUUAUCUUCAGUUACUAACAGGUUAUGCUGAGGACUCUGGAGAGACUGCCGUCGUAAGAUGUGAGGAAGGUGGGGAUGACGUCAAAUCAGCACGGCCCUUACGUCCGGGGCUACACACGUGUUACAAUGGGGGGUACAGAAGGCAGCUAGCGGGUGACCGUAUGCUAAUCCCAAAAUCCUCUCUCAGUUCGGAUCGAAGUCUGCAACCCGACUUCGUGAAGCUGGAUUCGCUAGUAAUCGCGCAUCAGCCACGGCGCGGUGAAUACGUUCCCGGGCCUUGUACACACCGCCCGUCAAGCCAUGGGAGCCGGGGGUACCUGAAGUACGUAACCGCAAGGAUCGUCCUAGGGUAAAACUGGUGACUGGGGCUAAGUCGUAACAAGGUAGCCGUACCGGAAGGUGCGGCUGGAACACC